This is a long non-coding RNA of Eurytemora carolleeae, 1601 nucleotides long. RefSeq lists it as uncharacterized. The transcript is spliced from 4 exons. The record is from RefSeq and is a predicted model, not a curated record. NCBI's taxonomy places the organism in Eukaryota, Metazoa, Arthropoda, Copepoda, Calanoida, Temoridae.
UAAAUUUGGCCACCGGUCGGCUUUGAAUUUUCGCCAAACCUUGGCCAUGGUGUUUACCAUAUCAACUUACUCUACUUUUUUGUAGCUCUAAACACGUACAUUUUAGAACCAUUAGUUUAAAAGGCAUAAUUGACAAAAAUGUUGAUCGAUUUUGGAAUGAGAGUGUGCACAUUUUGGAUCACUGUGAGCCAAAUUUAACGAAUAUGAUGUUCAAAUGUGUUUACAUUAUACUUGGUUAAAUGCUAAAAUCCUUGAAUGUUAAAAAACGGUUCAGAGAGAAUGUUCAAAUUGUCAAUGUCACAAUAGGAUUACUGUAAAGCAUUAGAUAGACCGAUAAAAUUCAUACAUUGAACCCUAAGAUUAUGUAGUAAUCUUUAUAAUGUAUUUUACAAAUCAUCAUUUAAAUUAAGUAUUAUCCUAACUUAACCAGAGCUGGGAACUUUUGAAAGAGAUUUGGUUAAGCUAUAGCUACAGACAAAUAACUUAAACUCCGUAGCUUUGUAUAUAAUUCGCCUUAGUUAUGUACAGAAAGUACCGCCCAGCCCCUUCCUAAGUACCUGGCCAUUUUACCUAUUUCAGUAGCUUGGUUUAGUAUAAAUUUUGACAAAUUAGAAAUUGAUCAAAAAAGGAGGAGGGGGGAAUGAACUCUAAUGGGGAAAUACAUAUUUUCACUCCCUCCUGUACCGGCUCCUGUAUCUAAGGUUCCGGUUUUGAAACCAUUUUUAACUCUGCAUUUUUACUUUCUAGGCUGUUUCAUGAAUUAUAGAUGUUCUGACAUAAAAACAAAUUUAUAUUUUUAUCUGAAAAUUAUCUGAUUUGAUAUAAACCUUAUAAAUAUUAUUUUCUAGGUGUGGAUGCCAAAACGAGACGGAAUUAUUACAUCUCGAGACUAUGAGCAGAGAACUUCAGACAAGUAUCAGCUGUACAGGCCUCUGUGCAGACGAGUUUGAUGUUGGAUUACAACUAGAAUGUCCCGAGUAUCAGUAUCUGUGUAAGAAGUAUUUUAAUCACAAUACCAAAGUAACAUCAAGAAACUGUGCACAAACAGGUGUCUCUGCCACGUGGAAUCAUUCAGGGCAUCGAGAGAAGAGGUACCUGGCGGCCAACUAAUCGGCGUUUUGAGUGCAUUGUAUAUAAAACAAAUAAAAAAUAUUAUACAAUAUUAACUUAUACGAAUAUGCAUCGAAAAAUUAUCGCUGAUUAUAGGUCGUAAUAUCUGAAUGAUUUGUUUAGAAUUGUGUGGAUUUUUUAACGAUCCCAGUCGAAUGAUGCAACUUUCAAAACUUGUAUGGACGCUACGUUCUUCGGUAUAAGUCGUUUUUAACAAUGUUCUCAUUAUAGACGCAGCAAAUAGAAGUAAGAUUAAUAGCGAUCACCGAUCACCAUCGAUAAUUUUUCUCUGUAAGCCUAUACCCCGUUUCAUUUGUCACGAACACUCUCAUUAAUAAAUGUAAUCCAAAAUGAUUUAACCUGUGCUGUACCAGAAUCAUAAAUUACGGCUUAAAAAACACCCUGUAAUAUUAAUUACAGUAUUAAAUAACACCCUGUAUAUGAAUUACAGAAUUAAAAAAACACCCUGUAAUAUGAAUUACAGAAUUAAA